This is a non-coding RNA of Vibrio harveyi, 74 nucleotides long. The record is from Rfam. NCBI's taxonomy places the organism in Bacteria, Pseudomonadati, Pseudomonadota, Gammaproteobacteria, Vibrionales, Vibrionaceae.
GCGCCCUUAGCUCAGCUGGAUAGAGCACGUCCCUUCUAAGGAUGUGGUCAUAGGUUCGAAUCCUAUAGGGCGUG